CCAGACCCAGGGAAGCCUGGGGGAGAGCUCAUUGCUGAGCUCUGGGAUUGUGUGAGCAGAUUACGAUGGUGCUUUAAACUGGUUUUCAUGGCAUUAAUUUAAUGAGUUUUUGAACACCCAGCCACUACACAAUUUCUCUGGCUAUGAAGAAGUAAGACAGUUGGUCUUGCUAUUCUGCACUGGGGCAGAUUUAUUUGAAAAAUCAAGGGAGAGCAUUUGCUGCUCUGUAUCUGAAGAAUUGUGAGGUCAUGCAUUGAAUUCUUUGCCUCUUGCUGACCUGGGAAGAAGGAAAAGAAGUGGCCUCAGGAACCUGAAGCCUUAAAAUACAAGGGGAGAGCUGCUGUCACCUUCCUGAGAUGGCUGCAACCCUUGCUGGUAUAACUUGGCUCUUGAUGCUGUUUGCUGAAAAAGCCUUGUUAGCAGUUGUCUCUCAGAUAUUCCUGUUCCUCUCCCAGCCUUGCAGCUGCCUUUCCCAGCCUGUUGCCUUUCCUCUCCCUGUUCCUGCCAAGCUCCUGCACUGUUCCUGUACACAGGGAGCACCAUCCAGGGCUUCUUUUAUGUGUGUGUGUGUCUCUUUCAGCUGCUAGCAGAGAUUUUUAUUUGCAUGGGGUGGGACAGGGGUAGAUGCAUCCCUGCACCUGCUGCUUUGCCAGUCAAAUUGAGAGGGACCAACCUCUGCCGUUCAAGAGUGACGUGACAAUUUCUGAUCCCUUUUGGUGGCAGCUGGGACUUGCCCUCCUGACUUGGUGUCCCCUGACCCAGCAGCAGUGCCUGUAGCUGAGGGAAACACUGUGUAAAGCAGAUGACAGGUUGUGUUUGCUCCUCCAGCUGCAGCGAGCAGUGCUUUCCUACAGACAGUCUGUCUCUACUCUAAACCAAUCCAGAAGUGUCACCAUCCCAGCAGAAGAUGGAGGACAAGAAGAAGGAGAAGAAGGACAGGACACACCCAGAUUCCUCCAUCUUGCCUCUUGAACCCCCAUUCCAGAACCCCAAAAUUCUACUUUUUCACCCUGUGACAAAUUAGCUAUCAUUCUACUCAAACUCCCGUGGCUUGUAAAUCUUCACACAAAGUUGGGAAUUUUUUCCAUGGGUUAAAAUCGAAGGCACAGGUGGUUUUGACUCUGUGCCAAGGUCUCUGAGCCCCUUGCCAGGGUCUCGAAUCACCCAGGGCAGCCAGAGGAAUGUCCUGGGUCCCGAAAGGCUCUGUCCCAGUGUGGCACAGCAGUGACAUGCCAGCAGGCAGCCUGGACACCAAGCUGGUAGCUGGAAUGAGCAUGGGAUAAAAUCCCAGCGACACCGUCGGGAACUGGAGGCAGCCCCAUCAUCCUGGCAUGGUAAAUAUAAAUGCAGCCCUUAUGGGAGGGCUGGGUCCUGCUGUAAUAAAUUGGAUUAAGGGCUAUUUUUACAUUCCUGCCUCUGGAGAGGGUUUUGGGGGCCUGGAGACAGAUGCAUGUCAUGGCUGGGUGCUGGCAGCCCCGUGUCCACUCCAGAGGGGUCACCAAGCAUCUGAGCAAGCCAGCCCUGGCUUACCUGAGGGCAGCAUGGAUGAGCUUCCCACCAGCAGCAGAAACAAGAGCAAUCAUCUCCCCUGAAAUCAUCUCCAUUGAACUUGCUGCCUUCUUCCACCUCCUGACAUGCACCAAGACUGGAUGCUUUCACAGAGGCCUUCUGCCUAGACCAGGACAAGCCACUUGAGAGACCUCAGAGCAGCUGUGGGAGCUGCUGGUGCUGCUCAUCCUGAAACAAAUGGGAUUCCAAGAACUCUACCUAGAAUCACUUGUUUCUGCCAAGCGGUUGUUCAUGAUGGCCAGAGCCCCCACCCCCGCAGAGAAACCGUUCUGUCUCGUGUUGAUACAGACGUUCCUGGGGU
Long non-coding RNA from Haemorhous mexicanus (house finch), 1870 nucleotides. RefSeq lists it as uncharacterized. The record is from RefSeq and is a predicted model, not a curated record. Lineage: Eukaryota; Metazoa; Chordata; Aves; Passeriformes; Fringillidae. The transcript is spliced from 3 exons.